RNAcentral lists this unclassified non-coding RNA (279 nucleotides) under uncultured fungus. RNAcentral describes it as "partial contains 5.8S ribosomal RNA, internal transcribed spacer 2, and large subunit ribosomal RNA". Lineage: Eukaryota; Fungi. The record is from RNAcentral.
AACGCAUAUUGCGCUUUCUGGAAUUCCGGAAAGCAUGCCUGUUCGAACAUCAACAAAUCAUGUCAAGAGGAUCAGUAUCGACUUCCUUCUUGGUUAUGAACCAGUGAUUGUUGCACAAUUUCGAUCACGGUUUCAAAUUCAAGGGACGGCAACUCAUGUCGGAUAUGAUGUAGUACGAUUGAACCUUCUCCAUCGUUCGACACGUGAUUGCUUGUCAUGUCAUUAUGCCAUUCCAUUGUGUUUGACUUCGAAUCAGGCAGGGAUACCCGCUGAACUUAA